This 835-nucleotide ribosomal RNA is filed under the name uncultured Mycobacterium sp. Its description in RNAcentral is "bacterial SSU rRNA". It matches the Rfam family "Bacterial small subunit ribosomal RNA", at positions 97 to 944 of the family's 1533-position model. Lineage: Bacteria; Bacillati; Actinomycetota; Actinomycetes; Mycobacteriales; Mycobacteriaceae. The record is from RNAcentral.
GGCGAACGGGUGAGUAACACGUGGGUGAUCUGCCCUGCACUUUGGGAUAAGCCUGGGAAACUGGGUCUAAUACCGGAUAGGACUACGCACUGCAUGGUGUGUGGUGGAAAGCUUUUGCGGUGUGGGAUGGGCCCGCGGCCUAUCAGCUUGUUGGUGGGGUGAUGGCCUACCAAGGCGACGACGGGUAGCCGGCCUGAGAGGGUGACCGGCCACACUGGGACUGAGAUACGGCCCAGACUCCUACGGGAGGCAGCAGUGGGGAAUAUUGCACAAUGGGCGCAAGCCUGAUGCAGCGACGCCGCGUGAGGGAUGACGGCCUUCGGGUUGUAAACCUCUUUCGCCAGGGACGAAGCGCAAGUGACGGUACCUGGAGAAGAAGGACCGGCCAACUACGUGCCAGCAGCCGCGGUAAUACGUAGGGUCCGAGCGUUGUCCGGAAUUACUGGGCGUAAAGAGCUCGUAGGUGGUUUGUCGCGUUGUUCGUGAAAACUCACAGCUUAACUGUGGGCGUGCGGGCGAUACGGGCAGACUGGAGUACUGCAGGGGAGACUGGAAUUCCUGGUGUAGCGGUGGAAUGCGCAGAUAUCAGGAGGAACACCGGUGGCGAAGGCGGGUCUCUGGGCAGUAACUGACGCUGAGGAGCGAAAGCGUGGGGAGCGAACAGGAUUAGAUACCCUGGUAGUCCACGCCGUAAACGGUGGGUACUAGGUGUGGGUUUCCUUCCUUGGGAUCCGUGCCGUACCUAACGCAUUAAGUACCCCGCCUGGGGAGUACGGCCGCAAGGCUAAAACUCAAAGGAAUUGACGGGGGCCCGCACAAGCGGCGGAGCAUGUGG